CGAGAGCGCCGGGGGCGCGCGCGCCCCCUCGCUACGGCGCCCUCCCCCUCAGCCGCCGGGCCGCCGCGUUUAUUAAAUGCUGGUGACCAUGCUCCCUCAUCAGGGUAAUCCGUCUCCCCGUUUGAAAGGCUGUCAGGGAAGGAUGGUCACACGGGAAUGGGAUACACCAGCAAUGGAUUCUAGAUUCAUCCGGAUCAUCCACCCUGGAAAAAAUUCCAAAGGCAAAAUUGAAGAGCUAUGGCUACAGUUGUUGGCCGCUCAUUUGAAAACCCACCACUGAUAUUGGAAACUAGUUUUACUAACAGAACUGCAAGCAAAAGAACAGUACCAUCAGCGCUUUCCUUAGAAUUUUGAGUGUGAAUUCAUAUUCAGUGUCAACUCAGCUGCUUUAUAAAAGUUACCUUGGUUUUAUCUCUCUUAAGAUUAAUAAUACACUAGAAUAUCAUAUCUUCUGAUAAAACUGGCCUUAAGUUUAAGGAAUCAAUCUCAAUUUUAUAUAGUUCUAAAUAAAUACCUUUGCGCUCUA
Molecule: long non-coding RNA, 526 nt
Organism: Ornithorhynchus anatinus (platypus)
Lineage: Eukaryota; Metazoa; Chordata; Mammalia; Monotremata; Ornithorhynchidae
Exons: 4
Source: RefSeq, a predicted model, not a curated record